Molecule: long non-coding RNA, 7506 nt
Filed under: Medicago truncatula (barrel medic)
Lineage: Eukaryota; Viridiplantae; Streptophyta; Magnoliopsida; Fabales; Fabaceae
Description: long non-coding RNA (MTRU_LNC007305)
Source: RNAcentral
AGUACUCAGACAUUGCAACCAAACAUCUUGCAGCUUGACGAACUGUUAACAACUGAUGCAGACGAUGAACUGUUUGGUGCCUCAGAUUAUCUGCCUGCAGUGAGUUUUCAAAUUAACAUUUUCAUCAUUUUCCAUCUAUAAGUUUAAUAUAUUCUAAGUCAAAUUCAAACUCAGCCCAAAAGGGUUGAUUUUAGUAGAUUAUUAUAGUUUAGUUAUAUUAUGUAUAUGAAGCACGGACACAGACACGGACAUCAGAUAUGACACGGACACUAACACGCCGACAUGGUUAAUAAUUUAAAAAAUGACAUAAUUCAGUGUGAUUAAAAAUGUCGGUGUCGUGUCAGUAUCGGACAUCGGAACACGUCUAAUCUGACGAGUAUCUAUGCUUCAUAUAAUAUAGGUUAAAAUAACAACCGUCUUACUAGUUGAAAAUACAAAAUAGAUUAUGAUUUAUGAUUAUAAAUUUAUAUGGUCUCACACUUAGACAUCAUAUAUACAGAAAUUAAUAAGACUGACUUUUCGAGCAAAUGAACAGACAAAUAAAUUUAACCUUCUUUUCUCAGUCAAAUUCUAAAAAUAAACAAACUUGAAAAUACAUACUAUAUGCUAAUUAUUACUAGAUUUUUCUUUCAAUAAUUGUAAUAGGAUUUGAAUUUUUGUUCUAAUGCAUAGAAGACUAUUCAAUUCUCUUACCAGUAAUUUAAAUCAACUGACUUCUCUAGUUUAUUGAUAAAAGACUUCUCUACUUUAUAUUAAUUAAUAUAAAUAUAGUUUUGAAAAUUAUAAAUUGGUGAACAUAUUUCAAGCCAUGAAAAUUAUAUGAAGAAAAUAUGUACUAGCAUAUUGAAAAAGUUGGACUCUUAAUUAAAACUAAACAGUAAUUAGAUGUAAAUUUUUUCAAACGGCAACAAAAAUAAUGAUCAGUCAUAGUAAAACUUUGAACAAUUACACAAGAGAAAUAUAGUGAUAAAAAAAAGAGUUUUGAAUCAUAGGUAUACCAAAACUAAAAACUGGUCAAAAUUGAAAAGGGACAAGCUUAAAAAUUAAUUAAACAAGAAAGGUUGCUUGAGAGAUUAAAAUCAAAUAUAAUGAUUAUGAUAAUGUUGUCUACCUAAUGAUUCCUAAGUUUCUUAUUCUUGUUGUGAUUGAUUACUUUGAAUAGAUCAUUCAAAUAAAUUAUCAGUUGGAGACUUGUAAUUAAAAUCGAUUAUUAUUUAGCAAAGUUCACAAUGAAAUUUAGGAUGUCUAAACAACUUGGUCAAUUUUUCUACGGUGGAAAAGUUUUGAGUUUUUGCUCCUUUUAUUUUUUUUUUAUUAUUUGAGGGGUUUUUAAAGUAAUUUUCAAUAACUGAAAAUUUUCUUCAAUUGAAUAUAUAUGAACUGCUAAUUCAUCUAUGCAAUUAAACAAAAUUACAAAAUAUAAACAACAGAGCCCAAAUGUUAUUGUUUUUUUAGUUAUUUUUUUUUUUGGACUUGAAGUAUUUUUGUUUGAAAAUUGCUCUUUAGUCCUUGGAUUGUUGGAGUUGGCAUCUCUUCAUUUAGGAUCAUUUUCUUUUAUUUCAAUUGAGUUAAACUCAAUUUUUUUUGAAAAAUAUUAUAAAAUGGAAAAGAUCCUUACUCAAAUUGUUUAUAUGCCCCCCUAAACCCCAAAAUUUCCUCCUCGAUUCCUAACCUCGGAACUAUCGAGACGUGACUACCUCUCGUUAGAGGGUUAGGUCCUGAUGGUUAAAUAUAACUUUUAAAUACUCAGACUUUACAAUUUGAACCAAUCAUGUUUAACUGGACUUAUGUAUAUGGGUUGUCAAACCCUCAAAAGGGUAAGGCUAACACUUAGGCCUCCAAAUUGUUUUUUAAUUUAUUGGAUACACCUCUUAUUGUACUUUUCAACAUUAAAACUAUAAAAAUUUCAUCAAAAAUAAAUUUUAUUUUAACAAAGAUUAAAUUGAUUAACUUUGUCGUCAACUUAAAAAGAAGUACGAAACCAAAUCAAUUACAUGAAUUUAAAUUAAUGAAUGAGUUUGUACUAUGAAAGUUGUGGAAAAUAUAAUUUAAACAAAAAUUUGUAGGUUCACUAAAAUGCUAUUAUGGUUGAUAAAAAAGCACCAUCUUAGGCAAAUAUGUAUGAAUUAGACCAAUUCACGUUCAAAUCCGUUACAACCUUUCAUUUUUUUACACAAUUAUACAACUUCUCAGUAUAGUGUAGAGAUAUAAACUAAAAAUAGAAAAGUAUUCAAGUUACAUGUUUGUAUUCUAGAAUAGCUAAAAAGCAACAAGUUAUGGUGAGGACUCUAUGUUAUGUCUUCAAGUUACGGUUACGACCAUGACAUCACAUAGAUAUGGGUUUCAAAAUGUAUCUUUGGAUGAAAUUAUGUUCCAUGUCACAUUGUUCAUUUAGUAACCUUGAUACUCAAUGUUAUAAAUUCAAUGAUUAAUUAAUAUCUUCAUUCAUUUACAUGAAUCACAAACAACCAUGAAAGAUAUCUUAAAGGUCGUGCAACUUGUCCUUAUAUUGGUACCUUAUAUUGUGAUAAAAGUGUAAUUCUCAAUCGAGCAGUAGGUAGACACUUUUAAUGUGUACAUCCAUUUAUACCAUUUUAAAAAAUUUCAGUUAACCAAAUAUACGGUCUGUGUAAGCAUAUAUUUUAAGUUGCGUGACCAUUAUUUUUCCAGAAUUUAUUUGUGCGCGUGACCACAUUUUUCAGCUUCUAUAUAGUGGUCACGCAACUGAAAAAAUGUGGUCACACAGACCAUAUAUUCGGUUAACUGAGAUUUUCUAAAGUGGCACAAACGUGUACACAUUAAAGGUGUCUACCAAUCUUUAUUCUUCUCGAUUAGUGUUCGAUCCUAAUAAAGUACAAAUAUUUUUGUGAUAUAACUAAAAAUAACUGCUUUCAAACUAAAAUACAAAUCUAGACUUACAUUUAAAUGGAUUUAAUUAUCCUUAAAUAACUUGGUAUUUCUUCAUUUCUAUGUCUUUUUCCAGUUUGUAUUAUUUUAUGUAAGGAGUAUAUUAACAAACAAUAAUUUCUUAUAUUGCAAAAUACUCUUAAAAUAUAAAUGGGUGUCUUUCCCCUCUCUAGCUGUAUAUCUUGUAAAAAAAAUAUAAUUAAGCAUUGACAAACUUUUCUAAUAUCAAAAUCAGAGUCAUAUUUAAUUUCCUCUAAAAAAAAAAAAAAAGUUAAGAGUCACAUUAUAAAAUCCAGGUUCGUAGAUUUUAUGUAACAACCUCAUGAGAGUGAGGAAUGCAUGCAAGUAGUUUAUAAUGUGAGGGUUGGAGUUGGUGUCCCUACCCAUAUGAUUGAAGGAACAGGUUCUUGUUCCUACCUGAUUCCCACGAGAUCAGUUAUGGACUUAUAGUAACUAGGUAAAAAAUUUCAAGUGGGACCACAAAACUAGUUUACCAAGAUCACACACUAUUCACAACAUUGCUUGCACCACAAAUUCAAUUUGAAAUGAUGAACAUUUGUUUUUUGAUUAUUUAUUUUUUUAUUUUAUUUGUUGGUAUAAUAUAUAUGUUCCAUGGUAUAAAUUGUGGGUUAAGAUCCUCUGCAUUUAGCAAAAUAAAUGGAGUUUGCAAUUUACAAAGAGAUAGACACAAAAAAUAGAUAGUGGAUCCUACCACUAAGUGAGUUCCACAAUAAUUAAUUAUAUUUUACUUUUUUCAAGAUUUUAUGUGUAUUUAUCUCUCUAAAUGUAAGAAAUGGAGAUAGACAUAAAUGGAGAAGAUCUUAUGUCGCAUCCUUGAUAUUUUGUAAAAUUAUAAAAAAAUUAAAAAAGUGUUGCCCAAUUUAGUAAUUAAGCAAGGGCAUCUGAUGCAAUAUGUGAUGUGAACAUCAACUUAACGAAAAAUAGAAAAGUUUCAUUGAUACAACCACAAUAGCAAUUCGAUUAAAAUUAUUGUAAAGACUUUUAAAACAUUUAUAUAAUCAAUUUAUCAUAUAAUUUAAUCUUUUUUUAUUGGUCAAGCAGUGUAGUAGCUAUAUUUCACAUUUUUUAAGGUGAAUAAGUGGGGUGUCCAGGGUUCGAACCCGGCCCCUGCAUAUAAUAAUACAGGUUCCUGCUAACUGAGUUAGGCUCACGAGGACCAUAUAAUUCAAUCUUAAUAUGGAAAAAAAAAAAUAUGAAAAUGGGUUUUUCCAAGAAAAUGCAAAACAUUAUAAGCUGUUGGGAAAAUGCAAAACAUUAUAAGUUGUUGGGAGAAUAUGAAUUAUAUUAGUCAAAGAAUAAGAAACAUACCUGUCUCACAAAACUUUCAAGAGUGGAGAGCUUGUUCAUGGCAAGAGCCAUUUGUCCCAUAUAGUUAGCCAUAUUAGGAGGAUUGCUUAAAGAAUCUGAUGUUAUAGUCUCUGAAAGAGAUUGGUUGAGUGCAUCAAGCCCUUGGGAAAGUGCUUCUUCUGCCUCUUGUGUUGAUUGUUGCAACCCACAUAUACCAAGUAUCUGGUGCUCCGUAAGAGGCUCAAUUUGACUUACAAUUAUCUAAAACACAUAUCCAUCAAAUAAAACAAUAUUAAUUCACUCAAAAAACUAUAUAAUACAUGUUUUUACUAUUUUAUUUUAUUUUGGUACAAUGUUUUUACUAUUUUAUUAUUCUAAAAUAAUUUUACUUCAUAAUAAAAUGAUAAGGGUCCAUUUUUGAGAGGUCCAUUUUUUUUACAUGCCUAAAUAUUUUUACAAGCAAAAGUAAAAUACACUCUUGCAACUGGCACGUAGAAAAUACUAAUACUAAAUAUAUCAUCUGAUCAUUAUUAUAAGCAAAAAUUUACAUUUAAGAUUCAUUUAACUAAUAAUAUAUAUAAUUUUUAUUAUAAACGCAUACAUUAUUUAAUGAAUGAAUCUAACUAUUGAUUUUUAAUUAUAAUAGUGAUCGACUGAGGUUGUAAGAAGGAGUGAUCAACUUGUUUUACACGAGUUUAUGGUCAAUUAGGGAGAAAAUUGGGUAUUGGAAACUCAUUCCCAUAGAUAAUGAGAGAUAGAGACCUGUGCCACUUUUCUUCUAUUUCCAUCUUAGUCCAUUUGUCUGAUUCCAAUAACAAAUUGUAGUGAAAGGUAUGGCUUUAUGGGAAUGAAACCUAACUCUAUACUGAAAAUCUUCAAUGUACCUUUAAUUCCACAUCCAUUCAUGACAUCAAAUCCAUUACCCUUAAAUUUACUUUGGGAACUCCAACUACAGUUUUAGUCAAAUUCAAUAUUAAAAAAACUAUUUGCUUAAAAAAAUAAAAAAGGAUGGAUAUUUUUCUUAAUGUGCAAGAUUAGACAUUGCUAAAUUUCAGAUAAAAGAUAUAUAGAACACCCGUUUUUUUGUUGAUUUAUCAUCUAGUUGUCACAAAAUUUUGAGGGUCCCAUGCAAAUAAUUAAAAUUUCAAUCAUCAUUUAAGAUUGCGGUUGAUCGAACAGUAAAAAAAAUUUAGGUAUCUUUAACGCCAUAAUAACCGCAAUUUUGAUCACAUAUUCAUAUGUUUGACAUGUAUUUUUUAGAAAUGUUUCAAGAAAUUUAGACCUCAAUGAUUUGAGGCCCUGGGUGGUGGCUCACCUUGCACACCCAUUGCGCCAACCCUGACGGUAAUGGCAUCAUAACCGCAAUUUUGAUCACAAAUUCCUAAAUUUGACACGUAUUUUUUGUAAAUGUUUCAAGAAAUUUGGACCCCAAAGAUUUAAGGCCCUAACGGUGGCUCACCUUGCACACCCAUUGGGCCGACCCUGACUGUAACUGCAAUUUAAAACCAAUAUUUCUAUAAGGCUAGGUUGAUCAUUGAUGCAACAUUUGUUUACCUUAAUGAGUUCAGAUGGUCUGAAUCCACCAAUCCACAUGAAGCAACGUUCAGCUGGGGUUUUCCACAUUCCAAAAACAAGAUGGAACACAUCUGUUCUAGCUAGAAUAUUUUUGAGGUUAAUUACUUGAUCAUAGUGAGCCAAACAAUUUUCCACAUAUAACCUAAGCUCAUUUUCAUGCAAAUGUUCAUCUAGUGCUGCUCUUAGCUCACACACUAGCCUGUGAUGCUCCUCUAACCACCUCCCAUACUCCACAUCAAACAUUGCAGCCUCUGAAAAUUUGUUCCAAAAAGAUUGUUACAAUAUUUUAUGGUUUGAUUUUUAUUUUUGUUGUCAAGUAAAAAAUUAAUGGGGUGUCUAGGGUUUGAACCCCGGCCCCUGCAUAUAACAUUGCAUGUCUCUGCCAACUGAGAUAUGCUCACGGGGACUUUUAUGGUUUGAUUUUAUUAGUAUGGAAAGAUACCUGAGCUAAUGCUAUUCAGAGAAAUUGGAAUUCCUUGGUCUCCUCCCAAAACUGCACCUCCACCCAUUAACACGCCCUAAAAAUGAAACAAAUCAUUGUUUUUAGGUCCUUUGCUCUACUAUUGUUGGAUCAAGAUGGAUCAAAAGAGAGAAAAUACUGCUCCCACUAAAAUGAAAUAUAUAUAAAAAAUAAAAAGUUCAUUUUCUUUUUGAAGAAGCUAAAAUAGCUCAUUCAAAUUGACACCAGAGAUAAUCGAACCUGAGACCUUGAGAAGGAGCACACUCCCAAGUCUCAAGCCAAUACCACUAGACGAACCUAGAUAGGCUAAGAAGUUCAAAAUUUAAAAUGUAUCUAUUCGAAAUUUUGACUAUGUAUAUAUAAAUAUUUUUGCUUAUAUUUCAUUUUAGAAGUAUAUUCGGAGAAAAAUAUUAAUAUCAUUUUCACGUUUACAAUCCAACGACUCUGCAGCAGAUUGCACCGUGCACUCGCCAGAGAGAAUCGGUACCAGUCUUGAUACCGAUUUUUAACGAUUAGUUUUUACACAAAAAUGGAGGUUAGUUCCUUACUUGAGCUCUAGCACGCUGUAACUCUUGUUCAAGCUGAUUAAGCUUAAUCCUACUUGUUUCUAGCUGCUGAACAUAAGCCUGAAAAAAAGAGAGGAACAAAUAAAUAAAUUAGUAUAUAAGAAAAAAGUGUUUUGACAAGAACUUUUUGCCUAAAAUGUAUAAAAGCAAAUACUACAGUUUUUGGGAAUAAAAAAACAAUCAUCCUGUAAGGGAAUUCACUGCACCUUUUUCCUAAGCCUGCUUUUUCUUGCUGCCUCUCUAUUCUGAGCAAGUCUUCUAAGAGUCUGUGCAAAAUAUUUUCAUUUUUUUUAAUUAUUAUAUCAAGGAAGAGAAAAUCAAGUAAAUUAAAUUAAGAUGUAUUAAUUAAUAUAAUUAAUUAACCUUAGGAUCUGGUGUUUUUGGUCCUUCAUGUUCAGAACUUGAAGUUGUACCCUUGCGAUUAUUCUCUUUCUGCCAUACAUCAUUUAUAUUGUAUAGUUGAUUAAUUAGAAGAAGAAAAAAAAAAUAGAUAAAUAAAUAAAUAAAUAUUAAAUGAUGUAUAUUGUAUAUUAUAAUGUACCUACCUUGACAGGUUUUGGUGGUGCAGGUGCAGAAGGGUUUUCAUUUCGUUGGUUUGCCAACUCCAUGGACGGUUGAGAUGGUUUUUUGGAGCCACUUGUUAUUGGAGAGGUUAAUCCCAUGCUAACCUAUACCAAAUACAAAUUAUCA